Misgurnus anguillicaudatus (oriental weatherfish) is the source of this 4056-nucleotide non-coding RNA. The record is from RefSeq and is a predicted model, not a curated record. NCBI's taxonomy places the organism in Eukaryota, Metazoa, Chordata, Actinopteri, Cypriniformes, Cobitidae.
UCUCAGAACAGUUUUGUGGUUUGUCAUAAAGUUCAAGAUAAAUUCCAGUAAAUCAGUGUAAAUGACAAACUUUAGACUUGAAAUGGUCAUUUGGGCGGUCUUUGAUUGAGAUGUGGAUUAAUCAUUAAAGCUUUGGACUCAGUGUAAUGUGGUGCUAUAUAAACAUGUGCUUUAAUUUUAGCAGCGGUGGAGUGCGAGUACUAAACCUGAAAUGUAAACUGCAUCAGGAAGAUUAAUGUAAAAAUUAGUGAAGGGAAGUUAAUGUUUGAAAUAAUGAAAAGUAGCUAAACCAGUUGAAUCUCUUUCUCCAAUUACUUCAUUGUCAAGAAGUUUGAUUUUUCCUUUUAUCCGGAUGACGCAAACAAUCUCUUCUGGGAUUACAGGGAAUCAGGUUUGAGAUUUCAGUCGCUGUUGUUUGCACUGAAGUAGUUUUAGGAGCAGAAAUAUUAACAUCUCUGUCAACUUUAAGUUCUGGUGUAAUGCUGUUCACUGAGAGAUGUGAAGUUAAGACAUGAAGAUGACGAGACACAUUAAAGAGAUAAAACUGAGAGAAAAUCUAACAGAAGAGAAGCUGAAAAAGAAACCAUUGAAAGAUGGAGAGGCGGUGGAGGACCGAGCUAAAUAUGUCUGUGACUUCAGUGAACAUUUAAAAGUGCUCCAGAAGAACAGCAUUGAUCAAUUUCAACCAAAUUUUUCUCUUAAUGCAGACAGAUCUGUGAGUCAUUCUGAUGACUGAAAGUUAAAGAUGAGAAAUCUGAGCUUCAUCUCAUCUAACUGUCAGAAAGUUCAUCAUGAAAGUUCAACCACAGAUGUUCAUCUCUAAACAAGAUUUUCCUCUGAAAACGCUCAGAUUUAGUGAUUUAUGGCUACAUCUAUAUACUGUCUACAUGUCAUAUAUAGUGCUUAUAUAGUGUAAAACUCAUACUUACAUGCAGAGUUAAAGCUAAAGUUAAUGUGUUCAGUGUCAAAGUCUUUCAAUGUAAAAACUUACACUUAGUUUAUUACAGUAUGUUAAUAUUAUUACUGUGAUUUUACUCUUACUGUGAACUUACAGAUGAUACGCAAAAAGAUGAAACAUAUUUUACAAAAUAUUUGUCAAUGAGAAGGUGAUUAAUCCUUUAAUCCUGAUGUUAUAUACUGUAGGAGACAAACCCUUAAUAGUGUUCAAGGGCACAAUGAUGAAAUCUCAGUGUCUAUUAUUCAUUUCAAUGAAAAGAAAAGUACAGUAAGAUGUUGUGUAAGCUGAUAUAAGUGUCAAAGUCUAUUUCUGCUUCAUAUGUGGAGUAAUAAUCUAUUACACUGUAUUCUGUUAAACCUGAAACUGUGAAUGUUGUGUAAAUCUGAUCAUCACACAUGAUGUAAAUGUCUUAACAACCUUUGUUGUACAGUUUAGACUCUUUUACACUUACAAUAAAAUAUUUUAAUAGCAAACAACACAGUAGACAUUAAUGUGAAUGUUGUUUAUUUGUGGUUGUAAGGGUUAAGUGAAGGUGAGAGAGUGCUUGGGUUUGGUAAAGAUUAAGAAAUACAGGAAGUGAUGUCAUUAAAAAACAAUCUACUGUAUUAUUCACAAGAAAGAAGGAGGAGUCAAAUUUCAUCAUCACUUGAAUACGUGUUUAGAUUUAAUUCACUCUAAUAAUGGUGUUAAAUAGCAGUAAAAGUGAUUCACUGACUCAUAAUCAUUUUUAGUGCUAAACAUCACCGUGUAGAAUCAUAUUGUGUUAUAUUGAACCAUAAGUGAUGCUAUAGUCAUGUUUUAACACAACUCAUGGUUGUUAUAUAGAUGUUAUAUAGGUGUUAAAAAUGGUUUCUCUAUGAUAACAAGCUUUUAGUUUUAUUUAGCACCAAUUUUUAGUGUGUAGUCAUGCAUAAAAUAACUAAACGAGUGUGCGAUCUAAAUCCUGCUGACUAUAACAUAUAGUAAUACUUUGUUACAGCCUGUAGGAUUUAGAUCACACGCUGGUUUAGUUGUGUCAUGUGGUGAUUCUGGUUUAACUUGUACACAGUUGAGGGAAAAUUCUCUGCAUUGACUCGUCUUUAACAUUUAAGUCUUCUUCAGACCUUAUAAGGUUCUUAGAUGACUUUUUUAAAGUUUAUUAAUGGUGCCGUGAGUACUAAAAUAACCACAUAACUUUUAUCAUGUGUGUGAUUCUUUUUGUGAACUGUUUUCAUUGAACAGAAACAAAGACAACAUUGGGUUCAGUUAUGUGAAGCAGGGCAUGAAUGUGAGAUAUGACGUCAAUUCAAAUGUUGUGAAUGAAUAGAAAUGAAUUUAAUUAACUCUCUAGUUCCUGGUUGAAUUGGAUUCUAAACGUUUGCUAAACUGUUAACAGGCUUCUCUAAGUUAAAGAGUAUAAACAGUUUUAGUAUAUAUAAAAUGAGAGUAACUGAAUGAACUUUUAUACACAACACUGCAUUUUUGCAUCUUUUUUAUUGUGGAGAUGAACAGAAUUGAAUGAUCAGGGUUCAUGUUUAAGCGUUCAUCUGAAGAGUGACUUUAAAGAAAACUAUUAUUGACAACAAAACAGCAUUGACAAUACUAAUAAAGGCUUUUUAAAAUCAGUUUUUAUGUUUUGCCCACAAAGCUUUGAUUUUCUGCUUUGAUUUCAUUAAAUGGUAAAGUUGAUGAUAUAUAGAGAUGAUGUAGUGCACUUAAAUGUUAAAAGAUUAAUAAGCAAGUAUUAUAUUAAUCAGUACUGAUGUUGACAUUUAUUCUAAUAGUUUAUCUUGCGUCACAAUAAGGAAAUAUCUGUUUGUUUAUUCUGUUUAGCCUGAAGAACAUAUUUAAAGAAAUGCAUUCAAAUAUAUUGACGUAGUAGUGGGUGUAGUCUCUCUCUCUCUCUCUCUCUCUCUCUUCAUAUCUCAAUCAUUGUGGUGAUAUCACAGCAUUCGUAACACAGAGAUCACAGACAGCUAAUGUGGAUAUUUCUAAACCUCAUCGAUUCAUCGCACAGCACAGUGAUUAUAAGCGAGCAUCAGAGGUCCAAGAUCAAGCAUCAAUGAGGAAAACAGAUGGACGACCAGGAUAAAGAUUAUUCAUGGCUGAAAAGUCAAGUACGAAGAGAAAGCAUGGAAAUAAAAAUUAAUUACCUCCUACUGAAUGCAGACAGAUGUUUAGAGUUUCAGUGUGAUGAUUGUGAGAUGUUUUUAGAUGAUCUUCAUCAGUCAGUACAUUAUGAUCUCCUCAUAGACAGACUCAUCUUUCUGCUGAUGUAUGCUGGAGUAUGAUGAAGGAUUAACAUUGACUGAUGUUGUUGUUGAACCUUACAAGAAUUUAAAGCAUAAAGAGAAAACACUGGCGAUGUGUUGAUGUUUUGAAGGAUUAACUGCAUGUUCAGUAUUUCUCUCUAAUUUAAAGCUCUUUGAAAUGAGACAUGAGACGAGAUUAAAACCUGUAACAGUUUUAAAACUAUGAGAACCACCAUCACAAUGUCAUCGUCUUCACCGUUUCUUGCAUUAAGAAUGAUGAAGAAUGAAACGCGUUUUUGCUGAAACAAAAACAAUGAACACCACAUGUGUGUGUUUGCUAUUUCUGUUACAAUUUACACAAAUUUAACAUAAUGGAGGUAACAAUGUAAUCAGUGAAAUUAUGUUCAACUUAAUUUUAAUUGCUGUGAGUAAAUAGACUAAUAAUGUAUACAUGCUGAAAACUAAUAAUAUUUUUAAUAAGCACUUUAUUUUUGUACAUUUAUAAGAUAUGUGUUUCUGUACAGUUCAGUGGUCGGGUUGUGUUUGCACUAAAUGUAAACUUGUUUUAUUUUUGUAAAAGAUCAAAUCUGUGUCAUGCAUUAUUAAUCUUAUGUCUGUCUUAUGUUUGUUCCUGUUGCUCAGUUGAGCAUUGCAAUAUUGCAAAGGUUGUGGGUUUGUUUUAGAGACAACACAUAAUGGGUAAAAAUAUAGUUUACUGUAAAUAUACUGUAAGUCAAUCUGGAAUAAAGUGUCUGCCAAAUGCAUUAAUGUAAAGUCUUCAGUUUGUUUCAUUUGAGUUACAAAAUAAGAGCUUUUUUCUUUCUGACUAUUAAAUGUAACUAAAUGUCGCCACCUUGAGCAAAACUC